RNAcentral lists this ribosomal RNA (300 nucleotides) under uncultured Anaerofilum sp. RNAcentral describes it as "bacterial SSU rRNA". It matches the Rfam family "Bacterial small subunit ribosomal RNA", at positions 496 to 795 of the family's 1533-position model. The record is from RNAcentral. Lineage: Bacteria; Bacillati; Bacillota; Clostridia; Eubacteriales; Oscillospiraceae.
GGAAACGCCGUGGCAGGGGCCGGGGUGAUAGGGAGGAGCCAAGCGUUAUGCGGAAGCAGUGGGUUGAAAGGGGCCGUAGGCGGUCUUAUAAGUCAGUGGUGAAAGCCCAUCGCUCAACGAUGGAACUGCCAUUGAUACUGUAAGACUUGAAUGCUUAGGAAGUAACUAGAAUAUGUAGUGUAGCGGUGAAAUGCGUAGAUAUUACAUGGAAUACCAAUUGCGAAGGCAGGUUACUACUAAGUGAUUGACGCUGAUGGACGAAAGCGUGGGGAGCGAACAGGAUUAGAUACCCCAGUAGUC